RNA transcript from Salmo salar (Atlantic salmon), 2303 nucleotides. It is a transcript of the gene named serine/arginine-rich splicing factor 3-like, with no coding region annotated. The record is from RefSeq and is a predicted model, not a curated record. NCBI's taxonomy places the organism in Eukaryota, Metazoa, Chordata, Actinopteri, Salmoniformes, Salmonidae.
ACUGCCCGUACUUUUGAGGAAAACGGGCAGGUUUCUCGACUCGUUCCCUUACAUUGAGAAGGGAUUGCGUGACGAUUAGUUUAGAAACCGCGUGACGCAGCAUGACAACGUCAACGCGAUUGGUCGACAGUAUGCUGGAUGAGUCCUGUCUCUAAUAUUUCUGCCACAAGCUGGCUACCAAGACUUCUUCUGCUGCUAGCAAAGAUUCUUCGGAGCUGUAAUCGGAGACUUUGGCCAAUACAUAACUGUUGUAUUUAUUAUUUCGUCAGCCCUUCAAAGGAAACCAGGAUCCGUCGAGAGAUGGGAGAACCUGCUCAUCUCAGAGAUUGUCCUCUGGAUUGCAAGGUGUAUGUAGGGAACUUGGGCAACAGUGGAAACAAGACUGAGUUGGAGAGGGCGUUUGGGUACUAUGGCCCUCUGCGGAGUGUGUGGGUGGCCAGGAACCCCCCAGGUUUUGCCUUUGUCGAGUUUGAGGAUCCCAGAGAUGCAACCGAUGCUGUGAGAGAACUGGAUGGACGGACGCUGUGUGGCUGCAGAGUGAGAGUUGAAUUGUCCAAUGGGGAGAAACGCUCGAGGAGCCGUGGCCCUCCUCCCUCCUGGAGCCGUCGCCCUGGACGUGAAGACUACAGCAGCAGGCGCCGUGGGAGCCCGCCUGUCAGACGCCGAGUCAUCACCAUCCCUCUUCUCACCACCCUCUCAGACAGUCAACUAGUCCUCUUACAGCAUCAUGUGACCCCUGACCAGCGCCAGCACCGUGCCCCACCCAAUCAGCUUGGCUGGUGUCGUGUCACAUGACCCAGGCAUGGCCAGUCAUGUUCCAGCCUAUUGGUUCCUGAGCAUGCAGCUCUCAGCCUCCUCCAACCUUAACCCAAUCGGCAUCGUCGCAGCCCACCUCACAAUUCCGACCAAUCAGCGAUUUUAACUCCUUUCCCCAAUUAUCAACACAACUACCUACAAGCAGCACAGCAGCCCUCGGCUAACCCCAAAAAGACAGGGAAAAUCUACAACUACUGUACCCCCUCCAGCCAACCAACUUCAUAUCUCCAACACUUGCAACUUGUGGCAAAUCCUCUCUGCAAAUUCUACCUCCCUCGCCAUCAGUCUGGCUUCCUUGCGUCAUUUCUAUCUUGUGUCCAAACCUGAAAAAAUAGUAAGUUCCUUUUCUCCUGCUUUUUGUAGUGUCAUGCUUACCACAGGUUUGGUUUUACAGCUGCUUGAUGGUAUGAAAUUGGCGGUCAUGGAAAUUGUCGUUUGAAUUUAGUUUCAAACAUCAACUUGUGAGUACAAUAAUAAGAAUCUUGAAUCUCCCUCCCAUAUUUCACAAAUGAAAAGCUUUUAUCCUUAAACUCAAAAGUUCUGUGGUCUUGGAGCUGCCCUGGUUAGCAUGAACUGUAUGAGGUCCAAUAUUGGUAGUGUGCCCUAUGUACAUCUAUGCAACAAAACAGUACAGUAUGUAGCUUAAGUCUGCAUACCUGUACUUAAAAAAUGUUCUCUCUAAUUCAUUCUCACUUGGUUUUAUAAGCGGUCUCAUUUUGACCUCAGUUGGUUGUCCAAGCAUUCUGUCCUCUAGCAGGGGUGCAGAGAGGAUGUCCUAUUCUGAUCUGUCUGCAGAAAGAGGAAGGCUGUGUGGUAUUGUUAAAUGAUUGGAAUGGUGUUUCUUCAGGGAUAAGGAAUGCCAUAUUUGAUUGGAGUUGAUGCCUUUAUGCACUGUAUAAACUGUUUUUCCUGCUCCAUCCACCUCCAGCUCUCCUAGGAGGAGGAGCUUCAGCCGCAGUCGCAGCAGGUCUCUGUCAAGAGAUCGAAGAAGAGAGAGGUCUAUCUCCAGAGACAGGAACCAUAAACCUUCAAGAUCCUUCUCAAGGUCUCGGAGCCGCUCCAGGACCGCUGAGAGAAAGUGAGUGUCUGACAGUCUGAACUCAGUCCAAACCUGAGGAUGUCUUGUAUAGAAUCAGGUUCUGGAUGAGUGCAUUUCAUUUUUAAAUGAUUAACCUUUUUAGAUUUGUGUUUAGGUGAGACAGCCAUGUCUGUCCAUCUGUGAAACGACUUUUUUGGAAAGCUGUAUAGUUCAAUUUACUGUCUUUAUUGUACCAAAAUGUCUCAUUUUCACUUGUUUAAGCAUACAGAUGACUGACUUACUGUCCAACUACACCUAACACAUUGUCCAAUAGGGGCAGGGGUUGGUUUUGAACAUUCAGUCCAGCCUUAAUAUAGGGAGUAUCUGUCAAUGUGGGAAUAACAUAACUACAUUAUUUGUUUCUGUUAAACUGUUUGAAGAGAUUGAAUUAAACAUUUGGUAACAUGUU